Long non-coding RNA from Daphnia pulicaria, 393 nucleotides. RefSeq lists it as uncharacterized. NCBI's taxonomy places the organism in Eukaryota, Metazoa, Arthropoda, Branchiopoda, Diplostraca, Daphniidae. The transcript is spliced from 3 exons. The record is from RefSeq and is a predicted model, not a curated record.
UGGACGAGUUCCCGGAAUGGCUGCAACGUUCCAGCAUCGACCACCGGAUCAAAGACACCAACACCAAGUUGAAGAGGAUCGCUAAAAAGAAAAAAGAGCCUGUCAGUGUUUCAGGGCACCAACAACAAGAAGGAAAAGAAGAAAAACCAUUCCGGAGAAGAUGAUCUCACUUACGGUCCGCGGGAUUAUGUCAUUGGAUCAAGGCCGAAACUUUGGACAUGGAUUACUUCUGUCUCGGUUGUCAUCUGGAAAUUAUGGGCCCGUAUGUAUGGAACAUCCGCUCUUCUCUGGAAGUUUAUGCAAUCGCGAAUGCAAGAAUAAACUUCUGACAACGAGUUACAGCAUUGGCGAGGACCGAUAUUCACGUAAGCGCUUCAUUUUUUUUGAAAAUAA